UUUUAUCAUAUUGAGGCAGCAGAUCAUCCCACCAUGCUUUCCCAGAAUUGUAGUUUUCAAGGGUACAAAAUACUUAAACUUCUUAUCAAAAUAUUUAAUUAUAAAUUAAACUAAUUUCCAUUUUUAACAGGGCCUUUCAUUAUCAAUAACAGGCCUGAAGACAUGGACAUUAAUUCUGCAACUACUGAGAAAUAAUCCUCUGUGGGAAUCUGAUUCUAGGACAUGAAGGGUCUAAGCAAGGAAAUUCUCAGGUAAGAAGUGUUCUCUCCUCUUUGUUCCCUUAAUGUCCCAUCAUCCUAACAAUGAGAUGUUCACACAGUAAAGGCCAUUUCUGGGUCAGAAAAGGAUAGGAUCAAUAGCUGUGUACAAUAAUGACAGAGCAGAAGAAGCCAAGGGAUUAUGGGGCUACCAUAUACUUGACUCUCCUGAGUCUACUUGACAAGCCACUUUGCAGUGUCUCAGACGUGGACAGAAAGUCAAGUUGCUGCUUUCCAUUUGUUUUCAUGCAAAGCAUUUGACAUUGCUGCCAAUGAUGGUUCAGCUCACCUAGUUUAAUGAGCUGUGAUGAUGUUGUGUGAACCUGCUACUUUCGCCUUGUACGGUCUCCCGAUUCAAACAUUGAUUCAGAUCGCUGUGGUGGUCUUAAAGGGUUUCUUGCCCAGAUAUCAGUUUUGAAUGGUUUCUCAAAUACCGUGGGCUACCGGUUUGGAGGCCAGUGAAUAAGUCACUAACUUCAGAGUCCAGGGAUAUAUCUGUUGCAAAUGAUGCUUCAAAGAAGAUAUUUUUCAGCAUUGCCUUCAUUUUCUUGUUCUUUGGGGAGGCAGACUGUCAAUUUGUUCAAACCACAAUGGCUCUUUCAAACACAAUAAUGCAGUGGAGGCCACGAGGAGCUGAUGCAAUUACCUCAUAAUCUGCCCAGAGACACAAUUAUUUUCCUAUCUGCAGGAUCUCUAGGUAAGAACUCACCUUCCAUUGGAUUACUGUCUGAUUAGUGAGGUGCUGCGACUUCCAACUUUGGAAUCUCUUGUUCUUUGGUACAAUGGAAAAAUCGCUGGAGCAGCUGGCUGGCUGUCGUGGACCUAUUAGGAAACUCCCAUUAUGCCACUCUUUGUGUGUCAAGUGGAGGGUAAAUUCACAGACCCCUUUCAGACACCGAGAGAAUACUUCCUCAGCAUUGUUUUGUAAGAACCAGCUCUCCUAUGUGCAUCUGGACUCUCCUGCCUGCUGCUGGAGAACUUGGCAGAGUAGACAAGCCAGCUUUCCGUGACAGCUGCAGCUGCUGCCUCGUUCUGAGGAUAUCACAGCUUCCACCGACACCACCAGACGCUGCACUUCGUUGUAGAACUAGGAAAGGUCUUUCCAACUUCUUUACAUAAUCUAGGCUACACACUGAAAUCUUCACAACUGCGUGUUUAUUAUAAAACACAAUUCUGGGCUGCCCAUAAGCCUUUGCUUCUCUGAAAGAAUCUUUCAGAUUUGUGCCUACUAUGUACCAUGGUUAAGGAAAAUCUAACUAUCUUUGAGCUACUCCCUCAUACUAUUUGAUGGAUUCAGACAAAAGAAAGGCAAAACAGUAAUGUGGGGUCUGUGCAAAUGGAUCUUUUUGGGGAAUGAAGGCUGGGAGAGCUCUCAGUCCUGAAGGAGACCUUGUCACUGUGAAAGAUGCUGAGUUGUGGCUCACUGACAAAGUCCCCAAUUCUGAAAUUCUUCAGAGAUGAUUCAAAGGAAGAGGAUAAUUACCAGACAAUCACCAGGUAAGGAACAUGCAAGAUUAAUGGUGGAAAAAUUGGGGAAAUAGGGAAGAAGACACUCUGCCACUUCAAGCAAUCUUUUCAUAUAUUGAUAAAUCAAACCCUGUCUGCCUAAUUCUAGUAAUCUAUCCAAAGUCACCACAUGUACCUUCAGAAUGUUCAGCCUAAGGACCUAGGAUAGAUACAGAAAUGGAGAGGCAUUCAACAUGCUUUGCUUUUUGUAGUCCUUUGCUUAUCCGUUAAGCCUUCUUCCCUGCUAAAGCAUGCCAGAACCACCUUCCUUUGAAAUGGUUUAUAAAGGGGGAAGUUCCUCUUUAAUAGUUUGGUCAAUAUCUUAAGAACUUAAAAAAGUUAUACUUUUAAUUUUGCUACCUUGUUAAUGUAAUAUCACUAUAUCUGGCAGU
Molecule: non-coding RNA, 2155 nt
Organism: Chelonoidis abingdonii (Abingdon island giant tortoise)
Lineage: Eukaryota; Metazoa; Chordata; Testudines; Testudinidae
Source: RefSeq, a predicted model, not a curated record